This 400-nucleotide ribosomal RNA is filed under the name uncultured bacterium. RNAcentral's name for it is "bacterial SSU rRNA". It matches the Rfam family "Bacterial small subunit ribosomal RNA", at positions 355 to 747 of the family's 1533-position model. The record is from RNAcentral.
UGGGGAAUUUUGGACAAUGGGCGCAAGCCUGAUCCAGCCAUGCCGCGUGCGGGAAGAAGGCCUUCGGGUUGUAAACCGCUUUUGGCAGGAACGAAACGGUGGCCUCUAACACGGGUCGCUAAUGACGGUACCUGCAGAAUAAGCACCGGCUAACUACGUGCCAGCAGCCGCGGUAAUACGUAGGGUGCAAGCGUUAAUCGGAAUUACUGGGCGUAAAGCGUACGCAGGCGGCUUGGUAAGACAGAUGUGAAAUCCCCGGGCUCAACCUGGGAACUGCAUUUGUGACUGCCUGGCUAGAGUCUGUCAGAGGGGGGUGGAAUUCCACGUGUAGCAGUGAAAUGCGUAGAGAUGUGGAGGAACACCGAUGGCGAAGGCAGCCCCCUGGGAUAAGACUGACGCU